Molecule: long non-coding RNA, 2745 nt
Organism: Lagenorhynchus albirostris (white-beaked dolphin)
Lineage: Eukaryota; Metazoa; Chordata; Mammalia; Artiodactyla; Delphinidae
Exons: 3
Source: RefSeq, a predicted model, not a curated record
AGACCGCAGCUAACUGGGAGCAGUGAUUGAUUUCAGCAAGACUUGAACCAAGGAAACCAGGUCUAUUCUGCCCCGGACUGGAGCACGUCAUCUAAGGCAGUUCUGAGCACUGAAGGGAAAUCAUAUUGAAGAUUUCAACCUUGAAGUUAAUCGCGAAGUUUGCUGCAGACGGCGAAUGUUUCAAAGAGACGAAAAGCCGCAGAAGCAGAAGGAGAGUAAGCCGGUGGACUCUGCACGAAAGGCAAGCAGUGCAGACACUGCUGCUCCAACUUCAAAGGGCAGCAGACACGAGGUCCCCUAAGACCCGCCUGCUCGUGGGUCAUGGUUCUGCCCGAUCCGCACUCGACAGACUCUUCCUCCUCUGAAAUCCUUAUAACGCCUGCUUUCUGGGGCUUCUGAUCACGGAACGCUAGGGCGGAAAAGCACUUCAGAGGGCAGGAUUCUGGACCAAACCUCUUACAGACCAACAGAGUCCCGGAGAGGUUAAACAACUUGCCCUCCUAUGCACUUGAUCUCAAAGUCUUCUCCGGAGGUGUUCUCCGGAGGUGGGGGAAGUCCAUGUCUUAGUUUUCUUUUUCUCUUUGCCAGAGCAGUGCAACAUAGGCAGCACUAAAUAAAUAUGUUGUGCUGAAUCUCGAAAGUAUUCAAAACUCCAACUACACCAAAAUAAUCCACUGUGAAUGCUGCAUCAACAUGGAUAUGUGCCUUAAGUACACAGUCUUAAGAUAUAUUUACCAUAUGUUACAGGUAGAUCCAAAGGCUAGAUAAUUAUAAACCUUUCUAGGUAUCCCCAGGAUACUUUACAUUUAUCAAGUGCCUUGCAAUAUGUAAGUUACUCUUUUCGAGUCUCACAGUUGUUCCCAGGAGGUAGCUGGAGAUCUCAUCCUCACGUUACAUGUGAGGAAACGAGGGAGACUUGGAAAACUUAAGACUUGCUUGUGUUGAGCCUUUAAGUAGCCAAUAUAGGAUUUGACCCACACAUGAGGCCCAGUUCAUAGCCCUCUCCUCUAGACCAUGGCGCCUCGAAUGCCUAAAGAUUUUCUUCAACAACAAAAGCCUUUGCUUCUUUGAUUCUUCUACAGUAGAAAAGAAAAUUAAAGAAACUAGCAUUUUUUUCCCUUAACAGAGGGCUUACAAACCCCUGCCCUAUUGUUUGACCUACCGGGGCUUAAUGCAUACCUGAAACUCUUUCUUGCUCCAAAAGCUUAGUGUAAAGAUUGAAUAUCUGUUCCUGGACUUUGCACACAGAUCGUUUAAUCUUUUCCCUGCGGGUCACCAUGUAAGUGAGGUUCCGAACCUAGAACGUAGAGAAUAAAGAUUCUAAGUAAGCAAUACAUUAUAACAGGACUUUGGUGUUUUUUUGUUUUUUUCCUCUUUACCUGAGAAAAAUUUGUCCUACUAGGUCCUUGAGUGACUUUUGAUAUCCAAAUGUACUUUAAACAUUUUAGCUAAUCUCUAAGCCUCCCUUUGGGGGUGCUAACAAGUAUUCUGCAUAUACCCCUCAAGGUGGGUAGCAGCACAAAAGAGGCUGCCAGAGGAGGUCCUGCCCCUGCACCACACCUGGCCACAGGCUCCUCCUGGCGAAGAGACAGACGCCCAUCGGUGUCCAAGUCCAAACAUGCCAGCUCUUGCCACAGGACUCUGCUUAUCACCCCUUCAGUAUCCUCUUCCCAUGAAUUCUAUCGUCAGAGGCUUCAGAGCAGUUCAGAAGCCACCUCUGCUGCACUUUAUUAAGCAUCUUCUGAAGAUGGAACUAGAUAGCAUUAGGGUCAAGGGCCAUCAGAGGGAGAAGCCCCUCACAAACAAUGUCCCCACACAGGGCUCACUAGAAGGCCAAGUAGUCACCAGGAAUCCAAGUAAACUUCUUUUGUUGACACUGAACUCUCUGAAUUACCUUGGAACUUACAGGCCGCUGUGUUCCUACAGCGUGUGAACACCUAGGGAACAUCCUUCUUGCUUUGCCAUUGACUUGCUAGCUCAGCCUCCCAAGGCCAGCUUUCUGUAUCACCACCUGAAAAACUGAAACUGCCCUCUUCUCGAUUCAUCGGUCAGUAACCGAGAAGACCCCAGCACUAGGAGCUCCGCUUUGCAUCUGAUGUGCGACCACUGGGGAACUGCAUGCAGAUGCUCAUUCACCAGUAGUAAGCAAUCAACACUUAAAUUUGUUCCCCAUUUUCAAAGCCACCUGUGAUCAGCCAAUACAGAAUCAAAUUUUAAUGACUUAAUCAAUAAACCCCCUUACAUCUCUCAGUCCUAAAACCUACUGGUAAGACCUGAUUAGACGGCAUGGGCCUGAAAACACAAACGUCAAAUGCAACACAGCAGAUAACACAAUUAAUAAACCUUUCUUCAGGAAGAUGUGGACAAGACCACCCCAGUAAGCUCAGUGGCAAGACUGAAAACAGGGACUGCGUAUCCCCAUCAGCUCCUACACCAAAGGUAUGACUGCACUCUCCUAACGCUUGGGCUAUCCCUUCUCCUGCCACCUUCCCCCAAGAUCACUAACCUUUUGGCAGCGAGAGUGGCAACAAGCGACACACACAGCCCUGCAUUUUGGCUUAUGUACAGAUACGCCACCCCUAAAGAACCCUAACAAUUCCAGCUGUUCUUCCCCAGCUGUGUUCAAGGCAGCCUCCUUUCCAAGAGGACACAAGGCAUUAAGAGGAACAGGUCAGCUGGCUUUCACAUUUGCAUUGCUCACGUUGUAAGUGGUAUAAUUUCCUGGCCUAAAGCAGGACCACCAAG